Molecule: ribosomal RNA, 112 nt
Filed under: uncultured bacterium
Lineage: Bacteria
Description: partial 16S ribosomal RNA
Rfam family: Bacterial small subunit ribosomal RNA
Source: RNAcentral
CCCGGGCCUUGUACACACCGCCCGUCACAUGACCCGAGUCGGGGGUACCCGAAGUCGCUGACUCAACCCGUAAGGGAGAGAGGCGCCGAAGGUAUGCCUGGUAAGGGGGAUG